ACUGCUCAGUAACACGUGGAUAACCUGCCCUUAGGUCUGGCAUAACCCCGGGAAACUGGGGAUAAUUCCGGAUAGAUCAUGGAUGCUGGAAUGCACCGUGGUCGAAAGCUUUUGUGCCUAAGGAUGGGUCUGCGGUCUAUCAGGUUGUAGUGGGUGUAACGUACCUACUAGCCUACGACGGAUACGGGUUGUGGGAGCAAGAGCCCGGAGAUGGAUUCUGAGACAUGAAUCCAGGCCCUACGGGGCGCAGCAGGCGCGAAAACUUUACAAUGCGGGAAACCGCGAUAAGGGGACACCGAGUGCCAGCAUCCUAUGUUGGCUGUCCAUAUGUAUAAAUAACAUGUGUUAGCAAGGGCCGGGCAAGACCGGUGCCAGCCGCCGCGGUAACACCGGCGGCCCGAGUGGUGGCCACUAUUAUUGGGUCUAAAGGGUCCGUAGCCGGUUUGGUCAGUCUUCCGGGAAAUCUGACGGCUUAACCGUUAGGCUUUCGGGGGAUACUGCCAGGCUUGGGACCGGGAGAGGUAAGAGGUACUACGGGGGUAGGAGUGAAAUCUUGUAAUCCCUGUGGGACCACCAGUGGCGAAGGCGUCUUACCAGAACGGGUCCGACGGUGAGGGACGAAAGCUGGGGGCACGAACCGGAUUAGAUACCCGGGUAGUCCCAGCCGUAAACUAUGCUCGCUAGGUGUCAGGGACGGUGCGACCGUUUCUGGUGCCGUAGGGAAGCCGUGAAGCGAGCCACCUGGGAAGUACGGUCGCAAGGCUGAAACUUAAAGGAAUUGGCGGGGGAGCACUACAACGGGUGGAGCCUGCGGUUUAAUUGGACUCAACGCCGGAAAACUCACCGGGGGCGACAGCAAUAUGUAGGUCAAGCUAAAGACUUUACCAGAAUCGCUGAGAGGAGGUGCAUGGCCGUCGUCAGUUCGUACUGUGAAGCAUCCUGUUAAGUCAGGCAACGAGCGAGACCCCUACC
This 972-nucleotide ribosomal RNA is filed under the name uncultured archaeon. RNAcentral's name for it is "bacterial SSU rRNA". It matches the Rfam family "Archaeal small subunit ribosomal RNA", at positions 85 to 1058 of the family's 1478-position model. The record is from RNAcentral.